GACGAACCGUGCGAACGUUGUUCGGAAUCACUGGGCUUAAAGGGCGCGUAGGCGGGUCACCAAGUCCGGGGUGAAAUCUUUCGGCUCAACCGGAAAAUUGCCUUGGAUACUGGUGGUCUUGAGGGAGGUAGGGGCAUGUGGAACUUCCGGUGGAGCGGUGAAAUGCGUAGAUAUCGAGAGGAACGCCGGUGGCGAAAGCGACUUACUGGACCGUUUCUGACACUGAUGCGCGAAAGCUAGGGGAGCAAACAGG
This 253-nucleotide ribosomal RNA is filed under the name uncultured bacterium. Its description in RNAcentral is "partial 16S ribosomal RNA". It matches the Rfam family "Bacterial small subunit ribosomal RNA", at positions 524 to 776 of the family's 1533-position model. The record is from RNAcentral.